Molecule: ribosomal RNA, 2924 nt
Filed under: Escherichia coli O121 str. RM8352
Lineage: Bacteria; Pseudomonadati; Pseudomonadota; Gammaproteobacteria; Enterobacterales; Enterobacteriaceae
Description: bacterial LSU rRNA
Rfam family: Bacterial large subunit ribosomal RNA
Source: RNAcentral
GGGUUGUGAGGUUAAGCGACUAAGCGUACACGGUGGAUGCCCUGGCAGUCAGAGGCGAUGAAGGACGUGCUAAUCUGCGAUAAGCGUCGGUAAGGUGAUAUGAACCGUUAUAACCGGCGAUUUCCGAAUGGGGAAACCCAGUGUGUUUCGACACACUAUCAUUAACUGAAUCCAUAGGUUAAUGAGGCGAACCGGGGGAACUGAAACAUCUAAGUACCCCGAGGAAAAGAAAUCAACCGAGAUUCCCCCAGUAGCGGCGAGCGAACGGGGAGCAGCCCAGAGCCUGAAUCAGUGUGUGUGUUAGUGGAAGCGUCUGGAAAGGCGCGCGAUACAGGGUGACAGCCCCGUACACAAAAAUGCACAUACUGUGAGCUCGAUGAGUAGGGCGGGACACGUGGUAUCCUGUCUGAAUAUGGGGGACCAUCCUCCAAGGCUAAAUACUCCUGACUGACCGAUAGUGAACCAGUACCGUGAGGGAAAGGCGAAAAGAACCCCGGCGAGGGGAGUGAAAAAGAACCUGAAACCGUGUACGUACAAGCAGUGGGAGCACGCUUAGGCGUGUGACUGCGUACCUUUUGUAUAAUGGGUCAGCGACUUAUAUUCUGUAGCAAGGUUAACCGAAUAGGGGAGCCGAAGGGAAACCGAGUCUUAACUGGGCGUUAAGUUGCAGGGUAUAGACCCGAAACCCGGUGAUCUAGCCAUGGGCAGGUUGAAGGUUGGGUAACACUAACUGGAGGACCGAACCGACUAAUGUUGAAAAAUUAGCGGAUGACUUGUGGCUGGGGGUGAAAGGCCAAUCAAACCGGGAGAUAGCUGGUUCUCCCCGAAAGCUAUUUAGGUAGCGCCUCGUGAAUUCAUCUCCGGGGGUAGAGCACUGUUUCGGCAAGGGGGUCAUCCCGACUUACCAACCCGAUGCAAACUGCGAAUACCGGAGAAUGUUAUCACGGGAGACACACGGCGGGUGCUAACGUCCGUCGUGAAGAGGGAAACAACCCAGACCGCCAGCUAAGGUCCCAAAGUCAUGGUUAAGUGGGAAACGAUGUGGGAAGGCCCAGACAGCCAGGAUGUUGGCUUAGAAGCAGCCAUCAUUUAAAGAAAGCGUAAUAGCUCACUGGUCGAGUCGGCCUGCGCGGAAGAUGUAACGGGGCUAAACCAUGCACCGAAGCUGCGGCAGCGACGCUGAUGCGUUGUUGGGUAGGGGAGCGUUCUGUAAGCCUGCGAAGGUGUGCUGUGAGGCAUGCUGGAGGUAUCAGAAGUGCGAAUGCUGACAUAAGUAACGAUAAAGCGGGUGAAAAGCCCGCUCGCCGGAAGACCAAGGGUUCCUGUCCAACGUUAAUCGGGGCAGGGUGAGUCGACCCCUAAGGCGAGGCCGAAAGGCGUAGUCGAUGGGAAACAGGUUAAUAUUCCUGUACUUGGUGUUACUGCGAAGGGGGGACGGAGAAGGCUAUGUUGGCCGGGCGACGGUUGUCCCGGUUUAAGCGUGUAGGCUGGUUUUCCAGGCAAAUCCGGAAAAUCAAGGCUGAGGCGUGAUGACGAGGCACUACGGUGCUGAAGCAACAAAUGCCCUGCUUCCAGGAAAAGCCUCUAAGCAUCAGGUAACAUCAAAUCGUACCCCAAACCGACACAGGUGGUCAGGUAGAGAAUACCAAGGCGCUUGAGAGAACUCGGGUGAAGGAACUAGGCAAAAUGGUGCCGUAACUUCGGGAGAAGGCACGCUGAUAUGUAGGUGAAGCGACUUGCUCGUGGAGCUGAAAUCAGUCGAAGAUACCAGCUGGCUGCAACUGUUUAUUAAAAACACAGCACUGUGCAAACACGAAAGUGGACGUAUACGGUGUGACGCCUGCCCGGUGCCGGAAGGUUAAUUGAUGGGGUCAGCGCAAGCGAAGCUCUUGAUCGAAGCCCCGGUAAACGGCGGCCGUAACUAUAACGGUCCUAAGGUAGCGAAAUUCCUUGUCGGGUAAGUUCCGACCUGCACGAAUGGCGUAAUGAUGGCCAGGCUGUCUCCACCCGAGACUCAGUGAAAUUGAACUCGCUGUGAAGAUGCAGUGUACCCGCGGCAAGACGGAAAGACCCCGUGAACCUUUACUAUAGCUUGACACUGAACAUUGAGCCUUGAUGUGUAGGAUAGGUGGGAGGCUUUGAAGUGUGGACGCCAGUCUGCAUGGAGCCGACCUUGAAAUACCACCCUUUAAUGUUUGAUGUUCUAACGUUGACCCGUGAUCCGGGUUGCGGACAGUGUCUGGUGGGUAGUUUGACUGGGGCGGUCUCCUCCUAAAGAGUAACGGAGGAGCACGAAGGUUGGCUAAUCCUGGUCGGACAUCAGGAGGUUAGUGCAAUGGCAUAAGCCAGCUUGACUGCGAGCGUGACGGCGCGAGCAGGUGCGAAAGCAGGUCAUAGUGAUCCGGUGGUUCUGAAUGGAAGGGCCAUCGCUCAACGGAUAAAAGGUACUCCGGGGAUAACAGGCUGAUACCGCCCAAGAGUUCAUAUCGACGGCGGUGUUUGGCACCUCGAUGUCGGCUCAUCACAUCCUGGGGCUGAAGUAGGUCCCAAGGGUAUGGCUGUUCGCCAUUUAAAGUGGUACGCGAGCUGGGUUUAGAACGUCGUGAGACAGUUCGGUCCCUAUCUGCCGUGGGCGCUGGAGAACUGAGGGGGGCUGCUCCUAGUACGAGAGGACCGGAGUGGACGCAUCACUGGUGUUCGGGUUGUCAUGCCAAUGGCACUGCCCGGUAGCUAAAUGCGGAAGAGAUAAGUGCUGAAAGCAUCUAAGCACGAAACUUGCCCCGAGAUGAGUUCUCCCUGACUCCUUGAGAGUCCUGAAGGAACGUUGAAGACGACGACGUUGAUAGGCCGGGUGUGUAAGCGCAGCGAUGCGUUGAGCUAACCGGUACUAAUGAACCGUGAGGCUUAACCUUACAACGCCGAAG